Leucoraja erinaceus (little skate) is the source of this 5936-nucleotide long non-coding RNA. RefSeq lists it as uncharacterized. NCBI's taxonomy places the organism in Eukaryota, Metazoa, Chordata, Chondrichthyes, Rajiformes, Rajidae. The transcript is spliced from 4 exons. The record is from RefSeq and is a predicted model, not a curated record.
GUAAAACGAAAGGCGCCGCGCGAGUGAGCGAGCGACCUCACUCCCCCACAGACGUCACCGCUGUCGUAAACAGGAGGUGGGCCGGAGUGAGCGUUGAGCGGCGGCGGCGAUGGUGGUGACAUCUUCAGUUGUCGGCCUCUCAGUCUGAAGAUGGGUCUCGACCAGAAACAUCACCCAUUCCUUCUCUCCAGAGUUGCUGCCUGUCCCGCGCAGUUACUCCAACAUCUUGCGGCUACCUUCGAUAUAACAGGCGGAUGUGUGUUGUAUGAAACAGAAGGACUGCAAACACUAUCUGCUUGGAGAGUGGAGAAACAUAAACAAUCCUAAAUGCAUGGGAUAACCAACAAAAUGAUGAAUCACUAAACCUGCCAGUUAAUUUAUUUCAGAGGCGAUCUGGCAGAGGUACAUAAUAGAAACAUAGAAAAUAGGUGCAGGAGGAGGCCAUUCGGCCCUUCGAGCAAACACUGCCAUUCAUUGUGAUCAUGGCUGAUCGUCCCCAAUCAAUAACCCGUGCCCGCCUUCUCCCCAUAUCCCUUGAUUCCACUAGCCCCUAGAGCUCUAUCUAACUCUCUCUUAAAUCCAUCCAGUGAUUUGGCCUCCACUGGCCUCUGUGGCAGGGAAUUCCACAAAUUCACAACUCUCUGGGUGAAAAUUGUUUUUUCUCAUCUUGUCCUAAUUUAGACUGUGGCCCCUGGUUCUGGACACUCGCCCAACAUUGGGAACAUUUUUCCUGCAUCAGUAUUUAUGAAAUCUUAAAUGAUAAACAUAAUAUAUUUAUUUUACAUAUCUACACAUUUUCGUUUUACUUAUACAGUGAUUUACUUAACUUACAAACCUAAUCUGACUACUGGUUUACGGAUCCUGCCUGAUCGUCUAAUAGUAAUAGGUGUAACAAGUUUAGGUGUUUGACUCAAUUGUUGGCUAGUUUGGCUCUGUUUUAGUACCUGACUUUGACCGGAGGAAUCUGUUUCUUUGUCUGUAGUAACUGAACUUUGUGUUUCAAUCACAGUGGUCUCUUCCAACUCACUUUCAGAUACAAACUCAGGAAUUAGGACUUCAUGCUCAGUUUUUGGCCCAUCUUUGGCUGGAAUCAUUUGAUCAACAUGAACACUUUUGAUCCUAUCUCCAACUUCAAUUAAGUAUCUUUUUCUUCCACACACUUCCACUAUUUUCCCAACAUCCCAUUUGUCUCGACUGGACUUGUUGGGGGGACUGAGAACACAAACCUGCUCAUCUGGCUUGAAGUACCUCUCCUUUUUGUGGGAGUCAAAAUUGCGUUUUUGACUUAACUGUUUUUGCUCAACUCAAGGCCAAAUUGGGUUGAACUGGACAGGUGUAUUCUUAGCCUUCUCUUCAUCAACAGUUCUGCUGAUUCUGUCUGUCUGCAAUGUCUGAACAAUCUUCAGGAACAAAUCCUUCUCGAACAGAUCAUUCCAUGGAUGGAACCCGGAAAAUGGUAUUUCUAAAAGUAAUAAAAGCAAAAAGAUUCGGCCAGUGAUCUUACGAGGAGGUAACUGGAGCAAUUCAGAAGUGGCACCUGUAACCUGCACUUAGAUCUUCAGUUACACUGCAAACAGGCCUCCCCUAUCCUGCUCAGAAAUGGAUAUGACGCACCUGCUGCCUACCCUGUGCAUCUCAUGAAACUACAUUUGAAAUGUAUGUAUACGGCACAGGGAUUUCAAGAAACUACACUGCAAACUUAGACACAUUGUUUUCAACCAAAGUUCAAGCCUCUAAUAAAAAGGGGUUAGUUUGGUUAAUAUUUCACUGUGAGCUUGCCGUUCAGGAAGUCUGUGAGGCAGAAAGUCACCAAGGUCUUGCUGGGUGAUGAAUGAUUGGUUUAGGUCUCAGUUCCACUCGAUCGUCCCAGCAGUCAGGCAGCAUUGAUGGGAAAUGUGUUUCCAAAAGAACUAAGAAGAGAAAUACAGAAAGGCAGUACGUAAUUUACCAAACUGGUUAUUAAAUACUUGUAUUGUAUUGUAUUGUAUUCAAAUUUAUUGUCAUUGUCUCAAUUCGAGACAAUGAAAUGAAUUUCCCUUUACAGUCAGUUUCAUAAAAAUAAAUAAAUAAUAAAACAUAUUAAAAAUAAAAUAGAAUUUGUAAAAAAAAAGCACAAACACAGAAAGUCCACGACACAACAUAACACAAUGGCACCAAGGUGAGGAAGGCACCAUAAUCCAGCCAGCCUCCCCUCCGAUCUUCCCAGAUGUUCACCCGUGGUCGGGGCUUUCCGAGCACCCGCAGUCGCCGCCCCGAGCGGCCCGAUGCUCAGGCCCUCUUGCCGGGCUGAUGGAACGCCGACGCCGAACCCCGACGGUGAAAAUCCUCCUCAGCGGCCCGGACCUCCCGAUCAGCCGCCUCCCACCGGAGUCCGCAGUUCCCGAGUCUUUCUGUGAGGCAGAAGACUUGUAACAGAGGUACAACAGAGGAACCUUAUAGAAACUUACAAAAUUCUUAAGGGGUUGGACAGGCUAGAUGCAGGAAGAUUGUUCCUAAUGUUGGGGAAGUCCAGAACAAGGGGUCACAGUUUAAGGAUAAGGGGGAAAUCUUUUAGGACCGAGAUGAGAAAAACAUUUUUCACACAGAGAGUGGUGAAACUGUGGAAUUCUCUGCCACAGAAGGUAGUUGAGGCCAAUUCAUUGGCUAUAUUUAAGAGGGAGUUAGAUGUGGCCCUUGUGGCUAAAGGGAUCAGGGGGUAUGGAGAGAAGGCAGGUACAGGAUACUGAGUUGUAUGAUCAGCCAUGAUCAUAUUGAAUGGCGGUUCAGGCUCGAAGGGCUGAAUGGCCUACUCCUGCACCUAUUUUCUAUGUUUCUAUGUACAAUUCUGCGCUGUUUAGUUCAGUUUAAAGAUACAGAAUGGAAACACGACAUUCAGCCCACCAUGUCCACACUGACAAUGAUCACCCAUUCAGACUAGUUCUAUGCUAUCCCACUUUCACAUCCAAUCCCUACAUGCUGGGAGCAAUUUUACAGAAGCCAAUUAACUUAUAAACCCACACGUCUUUGGUACGUGGGAGGAAACUGGAGCACUCGGAGGAAACCCACGCGGUCAAAGGGAGAACAUGCAAACUCCACACAGACUGCACCUAAGGCCAGCGUCCAGGGUGUCUGGCGGUGUGAGGCAACAACUCUACCCGCUGCACCAUCAUGCCAUUGAUGCAGUUGAAAAACAUCAGGGAAAGGUGUAAAAUGUUGGCAGCAUGAAACAGACGUUUAGUGCUGUUAUACAAAUUUAAUAAUGGAAAAGUGGAACCUCUGUGGGUCUGGGAUGGUCCAUAUAUCUAGGAACAUAGUCAAAAAUUACAGCUUAUUGACUGGUUGCAUCACGGCCUGGUUCUGCAACUCAAAUGCCCAGGAAUGAAGAUUGCAAAAAGUGGUAAACACUGCCCAGUCCGUCACGAUUGCUGACCUCCCCACCAUUGAUGGAAUCUACAGGAGUUGCUGCCUCAAAAAGGCAAUCAGCAUCAACAGAGACCUGCACCAAGCUCUCAUUUCAAUCCUCCCAUUGGGAAGUAGGUGUAGGAGCCUGAAAACUGUAAUGUCCAGGUUUAGGAGCAUCUUCUUCCCAACAAACAUCAGGCUAUUAAACUCGUCAACCUCUAAAUAAGCUACAAACUACAUAGACAUAGGAGGCAUUGUUUUUGUCUUUGCACUAUUAUUGUUUUUUCGAUAUAUACUGAACUAUUUUCGUUGUUUAUUGUGUUUACAGAGUACUAUGUUUCACACCUGUGAUGCUGCUGCAAGUAAGAAUAAGUAAGAAUUUCAUUUUUCCUUCUCGGGACAUAUGACAAUGAAACACUCUUGAGUCUUACAAUCCAUACAAUAAAUACCCUCACCACAGUUCCUGCAGUUGUGAUAAGUCAAGGGUGUUUAAUGAUCAUAUGUACCAACAAUGGAAGAAUGAAAUUCUCCUCGGAGAUUUACGGUAAUGGCCACUCGUCGGUACUCGGGGCUCUCGUGGACAUUUUUCAACAUGUUGAAAAAUCUUCACGAAUCUACCCGAGCUUACCUGCCGUUAGCGAGUCUUCCCGAGUAUCUGCUGUUAGCGUUACGAGCUGCUAAGAGACGUCCCCGAGCUCCGACGUACCCGCUGCGUUCAUUUUCCGUGCUUACCACGAGUUUGAUUUUUUUCAAACUCGGGAGAGCUCUUGGAAUGAACUCGUACCGUGGGACAGGGCUAUUACAGACCUGUGAACACCAUAACAUGCAGACAAUAUAUUAUAAUUAAACUAAUAACCAUAAUACUAGGUCACCACAAUAGUGCAAAAACCGAAGUCUGUAGCGCAACCAAAGACACAGUUCAAGGAAGAUCACAUGGUGAAAGUCUGCAAAUGUCUUUAAUUAACAUAGAACUUAGAACUAUACAGCACAGAAACAGAUCAUUCAGCCCAGAAUGGCCAUGCUGAACAUGUUGCUAAAUUAGUCAUGUGCCUGUCUAAAUGCCUCUUAAAAUGUACAUGAUAUCAUCAGGCUUUUCAAGCUCGUGUUGAUGCAGUCAUUGGUCUUAAACCUGCUUAUAAACCACGGAUGAAGCCUGCCCACCGAGUUACUCCAGCAUUUGUUUAUUUUUGUAAACCAGCACCUGCAGUUCCUUGUGAAUAAAUUUGCUGAUAAUUCAAGUGUUUCCACAUCUAUUUUGUACCAGAGAUGAUUGUUGAGAUAUUCUCAGGAAUUAACUUUUGAUUCCAAGGCCUGGAAAUUCAAGUUGCAGUGAAGCUGUGGUGUGAUCCCUGUAAUCCAUGCAAUCCUCACCUGAGACGGGGUCUGAUACAAUAUUGUGACUGGGCCACCUGGGUGGGGAAAAACACCAGGAAAUAAAUAUCCUGCCUCAACCCAUGGAUGGCUUUACAGAGCACAACUAAAACUCCAGUUCCCCACUGCCAGAUAACACGCACCUGGCCUCAGAUUCUGCCAGCUGAAUGAACCAUUUGUAUGGACGGGUAAGACUAGAAAAGAAUACUGACUCCAUUACUUAUCUCAGAAGCAAGAAACCUGACCAAGUGGACCAUUGGAAACGAAAAUGUCACACAAAAUAUGCAACUUGGUAAUUCUCUAGAAGUGUUGCUUCGUAGAUGAAAAGAGAGUGCAUCAGGUGAAGAUCAUAUUUUUAUGGCAAUGUUUGUUGUAGUGUUAGUCCGUGAACCAACAGUGAUCAAUAUCACAAUUGCGAAUGAGAGAUAAGAGUGUAAAAUGAAGUCUAGAAGCCAAUAAAAACUCUCAGCACAAUCCCUACAGUUGAGUCAAGCAUCAAGAGGGUUUAAUUGUUGUAUGCACAAUGGAACAACAAAUGUCUUACUUGCUGCAGUUUAAUAGUUCCAUGAAUGCAAUAUACUCAGAUGAAUAUAUAAUAAUAAAAAAUAGGAUAAAUUAAUGACUGUAAGACUAGUGCAAAAACAAAGUCUAUGGUGUAACCAAAGUCACAGCAAAAGAAGAUUGCACGAUAAAGGCCUGCAAAUGCCUUUAAUUGAUCCAUCAUUAAUGAUAUAUCCAUUAAAUCCCCACUAUAUCUCCUAAUCAUUGCAUGACACUGCUCUAUUUACUCUGACAUCGGAUACUCUGUAAAUAUAUGAUAUUUUAAUUUUAAAGUAUUUGAAGAUUUCAGUUGAUGUUGGUAGCAGCUUAUUUUCAUGCUUCUUUCCCCUUCUCAGUAUGGACAAUUUCAAUUUCUGAGUUCCAUAUUACGCAUUUACUCCCCAUCUUUCCCCACCCCACUGUCCUCCUGCAGCCAUAUCCCUCCUUCUGGCUUUCCAUUUCACUCAACUCUUCUCUCCUUAACUGACAACCUUGCCUCCUUUUCACCUUUGCCUUUGUCAUUUGCUCCCACCGAACUGCCAAUCAAACUCUUGUCACCUGAAUCCACCUUUUGGGGCCUCGACCCAUAACGUUAUCCGUUCCUUCUCUCCAGAGAUACUGCCUGUCCCGCUGAGUUACUCCAG